GACGUGUGGCUGUCGUAAAAACCCUAUUUGUAAACAACCAGCCCUUUAACUCGGGGCUGCGUUAUAAACACGGCGCGCUUGGAAGACCACGAUGUCAUCUUCCUUCUGUCAGGAGGAUCCAAGUGAAGCUACAGGAGUUUCAUUAACGUCAACAACUUGGACCAAACAGUUUGUUUUGCUUGAUGAAGAGCAGGAAGGGCAGCCUGGAGAGAAAGAGAAGCCGGGUUGAGCCCACUACCAUCAUCCACGUACCACGAGGAAGAUGAGGGAGAGAAAUUAUCCUACCAUUAAAGAGACUGUGAAAAGAACGUUGAGAACAUCACCACUCUACAGGAAGACACAGUCCAGUAAUGGGUGUCAGAAGUUCAGUAGUGAACGACAGAAACAAACAAUCCAAAUUACCUGCAGAAAGCCCUUGAUGGACGCUUCAGCUGCAUCGUCAGACUGGCAGUACUGAUGCAUUUACUGAGACGGGACGUGAGGGCCUACUCUGCGUGCUCAGAGUUCAAGCUCAGCAGGCUGCAGCGGGCCUGACAUAUUCUGGAACAGCAGCACGGUCUUUGGAUGACUCCUCUGAAGAUGAAAACAUGGCGAGGUACUUCUCCACUGAUGAAGAACUUUCUUCUCAAGAGAAGCAGUACAGGUGUGCCUCAGCUCCACGGUCCCUCCUGCAGCCUCCGCUCCUGAUGCUAACCUCAUGUCUCCAUCACACCAAGCAGCAGACCUGGAUUGACAGACCUUUCUCCAGAGCUGCCCCCUCCCUCUGAAACCCCCCUCUCCAAAACACUAUUUGUGUAGUUUUUAAAGUAUUUUUUGCAUGAGAAUUGUUGAUCAUAACAUUUCCAGCAGAUGCCUUAAUAUAAUGU
Molecule: long non-coding RNA, 866 nt
Organism: Pleuronectes platessa (European plaice)
Lineage: Eukaryota; Metazoa; Chordata; Actinopteri; Pleuronectiformes; Pleuronectidae
Exons: 6
Source: RefSeq, a predicted model, not a curated record